GGUUGAUCCUGCCAGUAGUCAUAUGCUUGUCUCAAAGACUAAGCCAUGCAUGUCUAAGUAUAAAUGUUAUACAGUGAAACUGCGAAUGGCUCAUUAAAACAGUUAUAGUUUAUUUGAUAAUCGAAUUUACAUGGAUAACCGUGGUAAUUCUAGAGCUAAUACAUGCUGGUUAGCCUGACUUUUGCGGAAGGGCUGUAUUUAUUAGAUAACAAACCAAUAUUCCCCGUGUCUAUUGUGAUGACUCAUAAUAACUGAUCGAAUCGCAUGGGCUUUGCCCGCGAUACAUCAUUCAA
This 293-nucleotide ribosomal RNA is filed under the name uncultured eukaryote. RNAcentral describes it as "partial 18S ribosomal RNA". It matches the Rfam family "Eukaryotic small subunit ribosomal RNA", at positions 6 to 302 of the family's 1831-position model. The record is from RNAcentral.